CACCCGACCGGCCCAACCCCGAGACCCAGCAACAGAAGCCCAAAACCCGAAGACCUCGGCCCAACCCCGAGACCACAGAAGCCCAAGACUCCGAGCCCAUCAACCCGAAACUCAAUCCAGCCCAGAUCCGCCAAACUCAAGCCCAUGACCCGAAUUCAGUGAUCCGACCCGCCGUUGACCCGCCGCCGGCAGCUUCUCCGGCGACUUUUCCGUCGACUUUUCCGGCGACUUCCCGGCGACUUUCCCCGGCGACCAAACUCACCGUUUCGCUGGAUUUUCGAGUGGAAAUCCUUAAUAUGUUUGCGCAGGUACUGAAGAUUAUGGAAUGGAUUAACUGCUAGCUUAAGAGAUUUAUAGCUGUGUAGUUAGGAUUUUAGUACUUUGUACUCAUAGAUGUUUGUACUAUUUGCUUGUAAUAUGUCUAGACAUUUACUUGUAAUUAAUAAGUUCCAUGCAGGCUUUAGUGUCAUAUGUGACACAUGUUUCUUUGUAAAUAGUGUAAAGAUUUUUAAUGUAUUUUCUAGAAGAUGUCAGUUAAAGCUCUGAAUAUAUCGUAA
Long non-coding RNA from Alnus glutinosa, 557 nucleotides. RefSeq lists it as uncharacterized. Lineage: Eukaryota; Viridiplantae; Streptophyta; Magnoliopsida; Fagales; Betulaceae. The transcript has 2 exons. The record is from RefSeq and is a predicted model, not a curated record.